GUUUUGACAGCACGGGUACCCCAACUCUUGUGGCAUAAUUAAAGUGGUACCCAGACUUUAAAAACUAUCAAUGUGAUACCCAAACUUUGUUUUUGCUAUCAAGGAAAUGCCCACGGCCAAUUUCCGUCACGGUGUCGUAUGUUUGCUGACGUGACCAGCAUCGGGUCCAUAAAAAAAAGGCAAAAACGACAUUUUACACAGACGACACCCUAAUCGAGUCAAAACUCGACCUCCCCCCUUUCCGCCCCUCCCCUCCCUUAAUCAACUAAAAUCACAAUAAACCUAUGGUGGAAGGCCAGAGAAACGAAGGAGAGAAGGUGGUUGCCUCUCCGAUCCCCCCUCCUUAUCAACUAAAAUCACAAUUAACCUGUGGUGGAAGGUCAGAGAAAAGAAGGAGAGAAGGUGGUUGCCUCUCCGA
RNAcentral lists this long non-coding RNA (418 nucleotides) under Fragaria vesca (wild strawberry). RNAcentral describes it as "long non-coding RNA (FVES_LNC003644)". The record is from RNAcentral. Lineage: Eukaryota; Viridiplantae; Streptophyta; Magnoliopsida; Rosales; Rosaceae.